Molecule: long non-coding RNA, 1592 nt
Filed under: Sorghum bicolor (sorghum)
Lineage: Eukaryota; Viridiplantae; Streptophyta; Magnoliopsida; Poales; Poaceae
Description: long non-coding RNA (SBIC_LNC006670)
Source: RNAcentral
GUGGCUUCUGGAGUCUUCUAGAUGAUGUAAAAUUAUGCGGUGCGUUGAUAUCUCUAUGUAAUCCUGACAUGUGGGCCUUUCUUCCUUAUUUCCUGAUAACCCCCUGCAGAAACAGAUAAACAACAAAACUCGUGGAAUUCUGUCAGAUCAAACCCUAAUUCUAGGUGAUGGUUGCAUAUUGGUCCUUUCUCAUGUUUAUUUGAUAAUUAAAAUUGAUACUUAAGAACCGUCAACAAAUACCCCCAUACUUAGGCUUUUACUCGUCCUCGAGAAAAGGAUGGUUAAGAAAAAAUCUGGGGUAAACAUUUAAAACAUUCUCCUUAUAAUUGCAGGGUGUUAAAAUUCCACUGUGUACCAUAGUCAGGGAUGUGUAUGGUUAAGUGUAAAGAUUCUUUCUUUUCAAUCCUGUCACUUGGAGUUUUUGUUAUAUUUUUGAAAGAAAGUUAGCAUACCUUUUUAUCCUCAUAGGUUCUCUCAGAUCACUCAUUAUCUUUUAUAUAUAUCUCUCACUGAGGCUGUUUUAUUUUGCAAAAAUUCUCAAGCAUACUUACUUUGCAUUUAUUGCCUCAUCAAAACGGGAUCCGAGGAGGGAAAUGUCAUACUCUUAGAUCAAAGACUUUAGAAAUUAAAACUUUGUCAACUCUUGCUGGCAUAUUGCUUAUUAGAGGGACCAUGGGCUAUCAUUUUUUUCUCUUUUUUUUAAGUGGAUACCGAGGUACCCCUAAUUCUACUGCCGGACACUUGUCCAUUUUUUUCUGCGAGGUUGUCGAGCACUUGCUCCUUUUUAUUUCCUCGAAAUAUCUUCUAUUUUUGCAUAGCCCAUGCCUCUAAUGCAAUAAUACUUCGGAAGAGUGAAUCUUACUGAAAUAGUGUCUUGAUCUUGGGAGAAUGAUAAAUCUCUCAACAAGGGUCUAACUCAUUUUGAACAAACUCAAUACAGAGCAGAUAGCUUUUAUAAUCAUAAUUAAUAUUUCAAUUUUAUCAGGCAUAUAAAACACUGAGGAUGGUAGCUAGAAAUUUGAAUAUUUUGAAAUAAGUUCUCCAAGCAACAAUGAUAUCAAGAAUAAGAAACUCAUACUCUACCAUCACAUAUUCCAUAUUGAUUUAAGUAACACAGGGUUUUAAAAUGAUUUUAUACUAAUUGCAAGUUUUCAAGAAAUAUCACAGAUUGAGAUUAAUCAUGAUUAGAAAUAUUUAAUCUUUUUAUUUUAUCAUGUCGGAAACAGUAAUCUGCAUAAUCCAGAAUAAAUGUAUGUAUAAAGUAAAGUGUGCAGAGUGUGUACCUGAGUGGUGGAGUGGUGUAGUCGGAGUGUGGUUGGCAUGUCGAGGGAUCUCCCCCAUACUUGUUUUCUGCUUUCUUGCACAAAAGUAAAGUAGAGACACACAAGACAUAAUAAUAAUAGUAAUACUCUUUAUUGAUCUUGAGGCAUUUAUUACAAAAAGACUGAUAGCAAACUGAUAACAAACUGAUAAUAACAAACUGAUAAUAGCAAACUUAAACCGAAUUUAAAGAUAGAUAACUAAGAUGCAUUGCCUCAAGGUCUAAUCUAGAUAACUUAGCGGCGCUCUAAUUCUUUAAUCUUCUUGUUGGC